This 469-nucleotide ribosomal RNA is filed under the name uncultured bacterium. Its description in RNAcentral is "partial 16S ribosomal RNA". It matches the Rfam family "Bacterial small subunit ribosomal RNA", at positions 28 to 507 of the family's 1533-position model. The record is from RNAcentral.
GACGAACGCUGGCGGCGUGCUUAACACAUGCAAGUCGAACGGAAAGGCCCUGCUUGCAGGGUGCUCGAGUGGCGAACGGGUGAGUAACACGUGGGUGAUCUGCCCCUUACUUUGGGUUAAGCCUGGUAAACUGGGGCUAAUACUGGAUAGGACCAUGCUGUAGGUGGUGUGGUGGAAAGUUUAGUUUCGGUAAGGGAUGAGCUCGCGGCCUAUCAGCUUGUUGGUGGGGUAAUGGCCUACCAAGGCGUCGCAGGGUAGCCGGCCUGAGAGGGUGGACGGCCACAUUGGGACGGAGAUGCGACCCAGACGCCGACGAGAGGCAGCAGUGGGGAAAAUUGCACAAUGGGCGCAAGCCGUAUGCAGCGACGCCGCGUGGGGGAUAACGGCCUUCGGGUUGUAAACUCCUUUCAGCCAUGACGAAGCCCUUGUGGUGACGGUAGUGGUAGAAGAAGCACCGGCUAACUACGUG